This 566-nucleotide ribosomal RNA is filed under the name Salmonella enterica subsp. enterica serovar Kentucky. RNAcentral's name for it is "partial 23S ribosomal RNA". It matches the Rfam family "Bacterial large subunit ribosomal RNA", at positions 1084 to 1571 of the family's 2925-position model. Lineage: Bacteria; Pseudomonadati; Pseudomonadota; Gammaproteobacteria; Enterobacterales; Enterobacteriaceae. The record is from RNAcentral.
CCCAGACAGCCAGGAUGUUGGCUUAGAAGCAGCCAUCAUUUAAAGAAAGCGUAAUAGCUCACUGGUCGAGUCGGCCUGCGCGGAAGAUGUAACGGGGCUAAACCAUGCACCGAAGCUGCGGCAGCGAACGUAUCACUUAAAGCGAUUCAGCGGAUGACGAUUGACGGAGCGAAGCGACGUCAAAGCGUAUACAAAGUCGAGUCGGUUUAAGGAUACGUUCGUUGGGUAGGGGAGCGUUCUGUAAGCCUGUGAAGGUGGCCUGUGAGGGUUGCUGGAGGUAUCAGAAGUGCGAAUGCUGACAUAAGUAACGAUAAAGCGGGUGAAAAGCCCGCUCGCCGGAAGACCAAGGGUUCCUGUCCAACGUUAAUCGGGGCAGGGUGAGUCGACCCCUAAGGCGAGGCCGAAAGGCGUAGUCGAUGGGAAACGGGUUAAUAUUCCCGUACUUGGUGUUACUGCGAAGGGGGGACGGAGAAGGCUAUGUUGGCCGGGCGACGGUUGUCCCGGUUUAAGCGUGUAGGCUGGUUUUCCAGGCAAAUCCGGAAAAUCAAGGCUGAGGCGUGAUGACG